Bos taurus (domestic cattle) is the source of this 3266-nucleotide long non-coding RNA. The record is from Ensembl. NCBI's taxonomy places the organism in Eukaryota, Metazoa, Chordata, Mammalia, Artiodactyla, Bovidae.
CUCACCAGCUGCCCUUCUCACCGGCUGCUCAAGAAAAUAAGUUCAGAGAUUCAUAAUCUACUCUCAGCAAACGUAUAUUCACCAUUUAGAAGGCCUUCUCCCAUCUUAAUUCUUAUGUGUUCCUAGCUUCAUUUAACUAUAGCUAUCAUUAAACUUACAUUUCCAUAUUAAGACACCUUGAGUUAAACCUAGCAAAGUCCUCAUUGGCACCUGCCUUUAUAACAAUGUUUGUCUCUCGUACACAUACACACAUACAUAUAGAUACAUAUAUACCAUCGUCUUCUUGGAACUCUGUGGCUUUGAACAAUUUACCUGGGAUAGAACUUUUCUCACCCGUGCACUGAGAAACUUGGAACUGUGUGAUCUCUAAGCUCCCUUUCGGCUCUGUAUCCUUAGGAUUUGACCCUGUUUUGUCACUGCUUCUCCUUUAGUUGAUCCAGAGUCCAAGCCCCCUCCUCACCUUUUGGGGUGAGGAUUUCAAUAUAUGGAGGCAACUGCCCGGAAUUCUCUGCCGGUGUCACAGAGGGUAAGGAAAGCCCAGAAACAGCUGCUGUUUGGGAGCUUGAGAAAGAAACUGGCCAUAGAGGUGAUCGAAUAUUCAUCAUAGAAAAGAAUGGAAAAAGGCCAUUUGCAGCAACAUGGAUGGACCGAGAGAUUAUCAUAUUAAGUGACUUAAAUCAGAAAAAGACAAGUAUCAUACGGUGUCACAUGUGGAAUCUAAAAAAAUAAUACAAAUGAACUUAUUUACAAAACAGAAACAGACUCUUACACAUAAAAAACAAACUUACGCUUACCAAAGGGGAAACACUGGGGUUGGAGAAUGGAUAAACUAGAUGUUUGGAACUAGCAUAUACACACGAUUACAUAUAAAACAUACUCAACAAGGACCUACUGUAUAGUAUAGGGAACUCUGCUCAACAUUCUGUAAUAACCUAUAUGGGAAAAGAACCUGAAAAAGAAUGGCUAUAGGUAUAAUGGAAUCACUUACUGUGCACCUGAAACUAACUAACAUUGUCAAUCAACUAUGCUCCAAUAUAAAAUAAAGACUAAAAAAUAUCACAGACUAGGUAGCUUGUAAACAACACAAAUUUCUUUCUCACAAUUCUGGAGGCUGGAAGUCCAAGAUGAGGGUGCAGAUAUGAGGGUGAGAAACUUCCUUGUGGUUGCAGACUUCUUGUAUCCUCACCUGGCAGAGAGUUCUUUUAUUAGAGCACUAAGCCCUUUCAUGGGAGAAGGCGAUGGCACCCCACUCCAGUACUCUUGCCUGGAGAAUCCUAUGGGCAGAGGAGCCUGGUAGGCUGCAGUCCAUGGGGUCGAGAAGAGUCGGACACGACUGAGCCACUUCACUUUCACUUUUCACUUUCAUGCACUGGAGAAGGAAAUGGCAACCCACUCCAGUGUUCUUGCCUGGAGAACCCCAGGGGCGGUGGAGCCUGGUGGGCUGCCAUCCGUGGGGUCGCACAGAGUCGGACACAACUGAAGCGACGUAGCAGCAGCAGCAGCAAGCCCUUUCAUGAGGGCCCCACCAUCAGGACAUAAUCACCCCCCAAAGGCUCCACCCAUUGGUGGUUCAGAACUGUUUCACCAGGACUAUGCACUUAACAAUGAAGAGUUCUUUACAGCUCAAGGAAAACUGCCACAGCCCUGUCCUGCUUGUCUGCUUCCCAGUCUCCCAAGUUCCUGUUUUACGAGUAAGAUCCAUGUAAGUUUUUUCAAACUUGAUCCAUUUUCCUUCUGAAAUUAACUCCUCUGAAAUAACCGACUUGUAUUUUGGGAAGAAUCUGUUCGUUCUUGGCUUUCCAUUUUCAAAUGAGUUGAUCUUCAUAGUCUUUAGACAGGAAGUUCACAUCUAAGAUGUGGAAUGGAGGGGUUCACCUUUGGGAAGAGGGUGAAAAGUAGAGAAGAUGAAGGUAGCAGUUUCAGGAGAUGCGAUGCUACUGCUUUUAGAGCUUAGGUGGUUGUGAGAAUUACGCUUGAGAAUACAGAGUGCAUGGUUCAUUCAUCUGAAAUCCUGGACAGACAAUAAUGGGUCAUCAUCUCCCAGCAGAUAUGAUCACCUCUCCCAGGCAGCCUUUAGCCUCAGUGUCUUUCUUUGGCCACCUCUGGAAGCACCAGGCCAACUGAUAUUUGCAUAGACUCGCACAGCUCUCAGAUGAACUCAUCUUUCAUUCAUUAUAGUAAGAGAAUCAGGAGCUGGGAGAAACUCAGGCCUUUUCAACUGUACAGCUGGGGAAUUACAACUACCAAUAGAACGCCAGCACCAUGAGGGCAAGGAUUUUCGUCUGCUUGCUCACCGCCAUCAUCCCAGGGCCCAGACGGUGCUGAGCACCUAGCAGGAUGGAAGUAAGAUGGCUCAGAAUAUCCCAGCCUUACAACUACAGACCACAGUAUCUGGAGGGAAAAUGAGAUCUUUUCUCAAUGCAGAUCUCAGGAAUAAGGCUGUGCCAGGCAGCGUGCAGGAUCUUAAUUCCCUGACCAGGGAUUGAACCUGUGCCCCUGGAGUGGAAGUUUGGAGGCCUAACCACUGGACCACCAGGGAUGUCCCUCGACUGCCUUUUAAUUCAGUUAAUUCAGUCACUUUGCAGUUCAUUUUUUGCUUCGUAUUUAAGUGUUUUGGUGGUCAGACCACAUUUCUGCUAAGAGUUCAUGGCUUGUUUUCAGGAGAAAAUGGCUAAAAGUUCAAUAUAAUUGUAUGCAUUUGAGGUCUAUGAAUAACUGUGAUAAAAUGUUCAGAAAGUAAAAAUGCUGCCUUCCACUCAAAAUUAAAUGGAGUUGACACAGCUGGUUUGUUUGAUUUGGGGGUGGGCAAAUGGGGUUGUGCUAGAUUGUAUAUUUCAGUUAUCAGAUUUCUCUAGAAAAACGACUGGAUUUCUAAAUGAGUUUCCUGAGAAAAUGACUAAGUGUGUGAAUAACACUAAAAUAAGUUUCCUGUACAUUGCGAAAUGGAUAUUGAAGGGGAGAAAGGGCUCAGUGUGUCAUAGUUGUUUGGAAAUUGUUUUAGCAUGGAAAUGGGUACCAUAGAACAUGCCAUUUUAUUAUUUGACAAAGUAGUUACUGGUUUCUGCCAUCAAGAAAAAAGACAAAAAGGGAUCUAAAGUAAGUAGAGCUAAUAUCCCUGUUCUCCAGUCCUUGUAUUUUUAUGAGGAAAUCUUGGCUUCUGACAAGGUCUGAUCAGAACUGCACAACUAAAUCUGUUUUCCCAUUUUGUAACUGUGGGCGGUAUAAAGGGUUUCAAGCAGAGGAAUGACUUGCUCAGAUGUGCAUAC